CUCCCUCCUUCACAAUCAAGCAGGUGUCAACAAUGUCUCUUGGGUGUGGCAAGGACUAGUCAGGAGCCUUGAUGGUAGGAAGGUUGCCAUGAAGAUGUGGGUUCAGAGGGAGAUUCCAGGGAGGGGCAACUGUAGACUCCCUCCCAGUGAGAGUGGGGUUCCCAGGUGGCCCAUGUCUCACAGUCUCAACCAAGUGUUUCAUUGGAUGCAUCUUGUUCUCCCUCAUCCACUCGUUACCAUCCAGGCCCUAUCUUCUGGGGACCGCCACAAGCCUUGAAGUGAGUGAGCUAUGUUCCUGAAUUUCCCCCAGAAACUGAACUGAAGUAGUCAAGAGUCAUCUCAUAUGUGGGAGGCGACAGAUCCAGAGUUUAAACUCAUGUGACCUCAAGGGUC
Molecule: long non-coding RNA, 393 nt
Organism: Mus musculus (house mouse)
Lineage: Eukaryota; Metazoa; Chordata; Mammalia; Rodentia; Muridae
Product: predicted gene, 32119
Exons: 2
Source: RefSeq, a predicted model, not a curated record